RNAcentral lists this transfer RNA (73 nucleotides) under Promethearchaeota archaeon. RNAcentral describes it as "Candidatus Lokiarchaeota archaeon (microbial mat metagenome) tRNA-Gln". It matches the Rfam family "tRNA". From Rfam's summary of the family: Transfer RNA (tRNA) molecules are approximately 80 nucleotides in length. Lineage: Archaea; Promethearchaeati; Promethearchaeota. The record is from RNAcentral.
AGCCCCUUAGUGUAGCGGUUAAGCAUCUGAGACUCUGAAUCUCGGGACAUCGGUUCGAAUCCGAUAGGGGCUA